UACGUAGGGUGCGAGCGUUAAUCGGAAUUACUGGGCGUAAAGCGUGCGCAGGCGGUUUUGUAAGCCAGAUGUGAAAUCCCCGGGCUUAACCUGGGAAUGGCAUUUGGGACUGCAAGGCUCGAGUGCGGCAGAGGAGACUGGAAUUCCUGGUGUAGCAGUGAAAUGCGUAGAUAUCAGGAGGAACACCGAUAGCGAAGGCAGCUCGCUGGGCCGAUACUGACGCUGAGGAGCGAAAGCGUGGGGAGUGAACAGG
This 253-nucleotide ribosomal RNA is filed under the name uncultured bacterium. Its description in RNAcentral is "partial 16S ribosomal RNA". It matches the Rfam family "Bacterial small subunit ribosomal RNA", at positions 524 to 776 of the family's 1533-position model. The record is from RNAcentral.